This 761-nucleotide ribosomal RNA is filed under the name uncultured bacterium. RNAcentral describes it as "bacterial SSU rRNA". It matches the Rfam family "Bacterial small subunit ribosomal RNA", at positions 28 to 777 of the family's 1533-position model. The record is from RNAcentral.
GAUGAACGCUAGCUACAGGCUUAACACAUGCAAGUCGAGGGGCAGCAUUUCAGUUUGCUUGCAAACUGGAGAUGGCGACCGGCGCACGGGUGAGUAACACGUAUCCAACCUGCCGAUAACUCGGGGAUAGCCUUUCGAAAGAAAGAUUAAUACCCGAUGGUAUAAUUAGACCGCAUGGUCUUGUUAUUAAAGAAUUUCGGUUAUCGAUGGGGAUGCGUUCCAUUAGGCAGUUGGUGAGGUAACGGCUCACCAAACCUUCGAUGGAUAGGGGUUCUGAGAGGAAGGUCCCCCACAUUGGAACUGAGACACGGUCCAAACUCCUACGGGAGGCAGCAGUGAGGAAUAUUGGUCAAUGGGCGCAGGCCUGAACCAGCCAAGUAGCGUGAAGGAUGACUGCCCUAUGGGUUGUAAACUUCUUUUAUAUGGGAAUAAAGUUUUCCACGUGUGGAAUUUUGUAUGUACCAUAUGAAUAAGGAUCGGCUAACUCCGUGCCAGCAGCCGCGGUAAUACGGAGGAUCCGAGCGUUAUCCGGAUUUAUUGGGUUUAAAGGGAGCGUAGGUGGACAGUUAAGUCAGUUGUGAAAGUUUGCGGCUCAACCGUAAAAUUGCAGUUGAUACUGGCUGUCUUGAGUACAGUAGAGGUGGGCGGAAUUCGUGGUGUAGCGGUGAAAUGCUUAGAUAUCACGAAGAACUCCGAUUGCGAAGGCAGCUCACUGGACUGCAACUGACACUGAUGCUCGAAAGUGUGGGUAUCAAACCAGG